CUUUUCUAUUUGAUUUAUUUAUAUAACGGGGACGAUACAUGUCGUCUGCUUAUCCCAGCUGACUUAAUGAUGGACCCUGCAGUACUGACCUAUUCAGUGGAUGAAUAAUAGCAACUCUUUUUACGAGGAUGAAAGUCGAGGGAGCACUUAACACUUCAGAGGAAAUUUGUUUGGGUGUUCAGGAACAACAAGGCUCAAGCCUGCCAUGAACUGGAAGUUUGUGAGUUUUACAUCAAGAUCGGCAUCUUCAUGCUCCCCUGAAGUUUUCAGCUGAUCACGUGAACGAGCCAAAUAGAAAAAAUGUGCAGAGACGAGACAAAGACUGAGCUAUUUGGCCACAGUGAUAACAGGUGUGUUUGGGAGAGUGAAGGUGAGGCUUCAAGACUUCAGAACGCGGUAUCAGCUGUCAAGUAUGGUGUGUUGCAAUAGUAAUUUUACAAUGUAUGUUGAAGGGAUAUUACUGCCCUCUGUUGGUGUGUCUGUGCAUUACAGCAGUAAAAGGUGUUCGUUAAAAAUAUCAGGUUAUGGGCCCAGAGGUCACUAACACGUUUUUUGGGAGUCAUAAACAGAGUUAUGGGAUUCACAAUGGAAGAUAGACUGUUUAAUGACAAGCUGAGUGGACCGGAGAAUUGGGCAACGUGGAAAUUUCAACUGGAGCACGUGUUGAAGGCAAAAGGACUGUGGGGUAUGGUACAGGAGACGGAGCAGCUAAUGCCCAAGCACGAGCUGAAUUUGAACGUAAGAAAGAAAAGGCAUUUUCAGUGCUGGUACUGAAUGGCAGACCUUCAACUGUACCAAGUGAAGAGCUGCCAAGAAGAAGAAGACACAAAUAAAUAAGUCAAAAGUCAGAAAGAAAUCUCUGUAUGUGUGUAUUUUAUCUUUACACUGUAAGUUAGCAGUGUGCAGAUAUCUGCUGUUUAUUUUGCCAUGAAGACUUUCAUUACACAGUGAAAUAAAGGUUUGGACUUUGGUACUAAAAGUAAUGCACUACAAAAAGCUAUUUCUAUUCAUUUUUAUAGGCAGUAUAACAUCAGAAGGCUUGGCAGGGCAAUUUUUAGAGAUGUGCUUUUCUCCUGAUUAUAAAUGAUUGGUCAUUUAGUGGACUGUUUCGGACACUGUCUCCUCUGCUCUCUUCAUGCAUGUACACCCUUGGUCUUCUCUCUCCAGCCCCAAAAGAACUUGAGAGUAAAAACAAUCACAGAUGUCACAGCUGCUGUUAUGAUGAUUGUGAUCCAUAUCCAGUGGUAGGACUCCUGCAGACGG
Molecule: long non-coding RNA, 1263 nt
Organism: Astatotilapia calliptera (eastern happy)
Lineage: Eukaryota; Metazoa; Chordata; Actinopteri; Cichliformes; Cichlidae
Source: Ensembl